RNAcentral lists this ribosomal RNA (484 nucleotides) under uncultured bacterium. RNAcentral's name for it is "partial 16S ribosomal RNA". It matches the Rfam family "Bacterial small subunit ribosomal RNA", at positions 30 to 507 of the family's 1533-position model. The record is from RNAcentral.
AUUGAACGCUGGCGGCAGGCCUAACACAUGCAAGUCGAGCGGAUGAAGGGAGCUUGCUCCUGGAUUCCGCGGCGGACGGGUGAGUAAUGCCUAGGAAUCUGCCUGGUAUUUGGGGAUAACGUCCGUAAACGGGCGCUAAUACCGCAUACGUCCUUAUGGUGAAAGUGGGGGAUCUUCGGACCUCACGCUAUCAGCUGAGCCUAGGUCGGAUUAGCUAGUUGGUGGGGUAAAGGCCUACCAAGGCGACGAUCCGUAACUGGUCUGAGAGGAUGAUCAGUCACACUGGAACUGAGACACGGUCCAGACUCCUACGGGAGGCAGCAGUAGGGAAUAUUGGACAAUGGGCGAAAGCCUGAUCGAGCAAUGCCGCGUGUGUGAAGAAGGUCUUCGGAUUGUAAAGCACUUUAAGUUGGGAGGAAGGGAAGUAAGUGAAUACAUGGAUGUUUUGACGGUACCAACAGAAUAAGCAACGGCUAACUUCGUG